UACGUAGGGUCCGAGCGUUGUCCGGAAUUAUUGGGCGUAAAGGGCUCGUAGGCGGUCUGUCGCGUCGGGAGUGAAAACUUACAGCUUAACUGUGAGCGUGCUUCCGAUACGGGCAGACUUGAGGUAUUCAGGGGAGAACGGAAUUUCUGGUGUAGCGGUGAAAUGCGCAGAUAUCAGGAGGAACACCGGUGGCGAAGGCGGUUCUCUGGGAAUAUCCUGACGCUGAGGAGCGAAAGUGUGGGGAGCGAACAGG
Molecule: ribosomal RNA, 253 nt
Filed under: uncultured bacterium
Lineage: Bacteria
Description: partial 16S ribosomal RNA
Rfam family: Bacterial small subunit ribosomal RNA
Source: RNAcentral